This 427-nucleotide ribosomal RNA is filed under the name uncultured beta proteobacterium. RNAcentral describes it as "bacterial SSU rRNA". It matches the Rfam family "Bacterial small subunit ribosomal RNA", at positions 353 to 772 of the family's 1533-position model. Lineage: Bacteria; Pseudomonadati; Pseudomonadota; Betaproteobacteria. The record is from RNAcentral.
AGUGGGGAAUUUUGGACAAUGGGGGAAACCCUGAUCCAGCCAUGCCGCGUGCGGGAAGAAGGCCUUCGGGUUGUAAACCGCUUUUAGCCGGGAAGAAAAGGCGGCCCCUAACACGGGUCGUUUUUGACGGUACCGGCGGAAUAAGCACCGGCUAACUACGUGCCAGCAGCCGCGGUAAUACGUAGGGUGCGAGCGUUAAUCGGAAUUACUGGGCGUAAAGCGUGCGCAGGCGGUUCGACAAGUCCGAUGUGAAAGCCCCGGGCUCAACCUGGGAACUGCAUUGGAAACUGGCGAGCUUGAGUGUGGCAGAGGGGGGUGGAAUUCCGCGUGUAGCAGUGAAAUGCGUAGAGAUGCGGAGGAACACCGAUGGCGAAGGCAGCCCCCUGGGCUAACACUGACGCUCAGGCACGAAAGCGUGGGGAGCAAA